This 415-nucleotide ribosomal RNA is filed under the name uncultured prokaryote. Its description in RNAcentral is "bacterial SSU rRNA". It matches the Rfam family "Bacterial small subunit ribosomal RNA", at positions 355 to 774 of the family's 1533-position model. The record is from RNAcentral.
UGAGGAACUUUGCGCAAUGGGCGAAAGCCUGACGCAGCGACGCCGCGUGGAGGAAGACGGCCUUCGGGUUGUAAACUCCUGUCAGGGGUGAAGAAACUUCGCAAGAAGCUGACGGUAACCCCAGAGGAAGCCCCGGCUAACUACGUGCCAGCAGCCGCGGUAAUACGUAGGGGGCGAGCGUUGUUCGGAAUUACUGGGCGUAAAGGGCAUGUAGGCGGUUAUGUAAGCCUGGCGUGAAAGUCCACGGCUCAACUGCGGAACGGCACUGGAUACUGGCGGGCUACGAGUCUGCGAGGGGUAAGCGGAAUUCCUGGUGUAGCGGUGGAAUGCGUAGAUAUCAGGAAGAACACCGAUGGCGAAGGCGGCUUACUGGCGCAGUACUGACCCUGAGGGACGAAAGCGUGGGUAGCAAACG